Molecule: ribosomal RNA, 468 nt
Filed under: uncultured bacterium
Lineage: Bacteria
Description: partial 16S ribosomal RNA
Rfam family: Bacterial small subunit ribosomal RNA
Source: RNAcentral
GACGAACGCUGGCGGCGUGCUUAACACAUGCAAGUCGAACGGAAAGGCCCUGCUUUGGUGGGGUGCUCGAGUGGCGAACGGGUGAGUAACACGUGAGUAACCUGCCCUUGAUUUUGGGAUAACUUCAGGAAACUGGGGCUAAUACCGGAUAGGAGCUCCUGCUGCAUGGUGGGGGGUGGAAAGUUUCGGUGGUUGGGGAUGGACUCGCGGCUGAUCAGCUUGUGGGUGGGGUAGUGGCUUACCAAGGCUUUGACGGGUAGCCGGCCUGAGAGGGUGACCGGCCACAUUGGGACUGAGAUACGGCCCAGAAUCCUACGGGAGGCAGCAGUGGGGAAUAUUGCACAAUGGGCGGAAGCCUGAUGCCGCAACGCCGCGUGCGGGAUGACGGCCUUCGGGUUGUAAACCGCUUUCGCCUGUGACGAAGCGUGAGUGACGGUAAUGGGUAAAGAAGCACCGGCUAACUACGUG